CUUAGGGCCAUAAUGACCUCCAGACCUUUUGCAGAAGGUUGGAAUAGAUAAGAUUAGCAUAUUCGUAGUCUGGAAAAUGCUAUACAAAGAAUGUAAAACAUGAAACUACUUGUGGACCAAAUGAAAAACUGUGGAGCAGAUUAUGAUGCAGUUAGACCUUGCUUGAAUGACUUCGACCCACAAAAGCAGAGUAAUUUAUCCCUACUUACAGAGAGAUUGCCCUACGUGUAACAGCUGCAUACAAAAAAGUUAUAAAAUUAUCAUUGGUUUAACAAGGAUAAAUGAAAAACAUUAAAAUUCUCCAACUGAACAAGGUGUGUCUGUUUCAUUGAUUGGCUGACUGUCAAAUCGGAAUCUGAUCUGCCCCAUUGACAAUGCCUUGGGCUUUUCCUCAGCCAUGGCAAAUGCCAGAGUCUUCUCAGCUGCCGCUUCACAAAAGAGGUACCAGCUUCUCACUGAACGAACACAGUGCAGCACCAGGAGUGACAGAAGAAGGAGGCGGCAGCGGUGGUUGAGGGACAGGAUGUGAUUCUUCUUCCAACUGAUUCGCCAGAAGAAUCAGGCCUCUUUGCUCCUUUUCUUCAGUGUCCUGUGCCUUGGCUGUUGCAGGUGGAAGUGGAAAAGAAAUUGCCAAUGAUGCUGCAAAUAACUUCCUUCACCUUCUAACCUGGAGAUUCAUUGAAGGAAGAAAAAAGGUGACUGUCAGAGUCCCUGCUGGCCAUGCCUCUCAGCCACAGGACCACUGAGCCACUUAAUUCCUCCCCAGGGUCAGAUGUGCCCCAGCACCCAAUUGUUUAUGGAUACCCUAACCACCUUUUCACACUCCUU
RNAcentral lists this long non-coding RNA (828 nucleotides) under Pan troglodytes (chimpanzee). Its description in RNAcentral is "long non-coding RNA NONPTRT005031". The record is from RNAcentral. Lineage: Eukaryota; Metazoa; Chordata; Mammalia; Primates; Hominidae.